This is a long non-coding RNA of Ictalurus punctatus (channel catfish), 1373 nucleotides long. The record is from Ensembl. Lineage: Eukaryota; Metazoa; Chordata; Actinopteri; Siluriformes; Ictaluridae.
AUUUGUUGUGUGUAAAAUGUUUAAAUCAUAUUUGUAUUGAAUUGAAUUGUAAAGUAAACCCUUUAUAUACUACAUCGUUUGUCUUAGACUGAACAACGUAUUACAGAUGAACAAUUAUGUAAACACACACACACACACACGUCCUGGGAGGAAAAAUUUCAAGCUUGUAUAAUCCCAUUUUAUUAGUUUUGUGCUGUUUACAACAGGCAUUGAGACAUUGUAGACAAAUCUGCAUCUAUUCCUCUAAUGAUUAACUGAAAAUGACAUUAAUGAAAAGAAAAAAGAAAGAAGAAAGAUACUGAAUAGAGGAAGAAUGAUGUAAAAAUUGUGAAGGCAGGUUUACAACAUAGGUUCUUGAAUCAUAUAAGAAAUACAAGAGCAAUGAUCGAUGUUAAAAGUUUGUUAAGGAGUAACAAACACAUGCUCUUAAGAUGUCAGGUGAUUAUCAGAUAUUUAAGUCAUUUCUGAACAAACAAAAGUGAUUUUAACAUUGUCCUUUUGACAUGUGGGCACAUGACAUCUUGUGGGCAGGGACUAUUUCAUUCCCACUCUGUAAAUGUAUUGUGAUUGAGAGGUGAGGUAGUUGUAGGAGGUUAAUGGGUAGGCUAUGAAGUAUAGACUUCAGAAAACGGAACAUUUCUAAAUCCCAUUUCUACCAUGGUAAUGGGAGAGAAAAUACAGAUUGCCCAUUGGACGGUGACUCAGAUGGUGUUUGAACACAGGAGGUGUGAAAAAAAGGUUGCUCUUUACUGAUAGAAUAUUAUACUUUAAUCGAGCCUUUCAAGGGUUUCAUGUGUCGUCUGUUUUAAUAUGAAUUUAAUAUCAUGUCAUAUGAUUAACUACAUGCAAUCUGUUUCUUUUUUUCUUUUUCUUUUUUAAACAAUCUGAUUAAGUAGUUUUAGUAAUGGCAGGAGAUCGGUUAAAGGAAUGGGUUCACCCUGUUUUAAUAGACUAGAGUAGUGGUUGUAGUUGUUGUAGGAGUGGUGGUACGAGUAGUUAGAAUAGUGGUUGGAGUAGUGGUUGAAGUAGUGGUUGGAGUAGGGGUUGUAGUAGUGGUUGUAGUAGUGGUUGAAGUAGUGGUUGGAGUAGGGGUUGGAGUAGUGGUUGGAGUAGUGGUUGGACUAGUGGUUGAAGUAGUGGUUGGAGUAGUGGUUGGAGUAGUGGUAAGACAUGACAUAAUUAUCUGAAUGACAUCAUGAUUGGUUAAUAUGGGUCACAUGUUAUUAGACGAGUAGUGGUUGGAGUAGUGGUUGGAGUAGUGGUUGGGGUAGUGGUUGGAGUGGUGGUUGGAGUGGUGGUUGGAGUGGUGGUUGGAUGGGAAACGCUUGUGGAUUGUGAAGACACUGAGAAGAGGAUAGUUAGUUAGACAGUUA